RNAcentral lists this transfer RNA (75 nucleotides) under Clostridiales bacterium. Its description in RNAcentral is "tRNA-Glu". It matches the Rfam family "tRNA". Rfam says of the family: Transfer RNA (tRNA) molecules are approximately 80 nucleotides in length. Their secondary structure includes four short double-helical elements and three loops (D, anti-codon, and T loops). Lineage: Bacteria; Bacillati; Bacillota; Clostridia; Eubacteriales. The record is from RNAcentral. RNAcentral also lists the same sequence under 3 other names.
GGCCCCAUGGUCAAGUGGUUAAGACAGCGGCCUCUCACGCCGUUAACGUGGGUUCGAAUCCCGCUGGGGUCACCA